UACAGAGGGCUCAAGCGUUGUUCGGAUUCAUUGGGCGUAAAGGGCGCGUAGGCGGCGCGGUAAGUCGGGUGUGAAAUCUCGGAGCUUAACUCCGAAACUGCAUUCGAUACUGCCGGGCUUGAGGACUGGAGAGGAGACUGGAAUUUACGGUGUAGCGGUGAAAUGCGUAGAUAUCGUAAGGAAGACCAGUGGCGAAGGCGGGUCUCUGGACAGUUCCUGACGCUGAGGCACGAAGGUCAGGGGAGCAAACGGG
Molecule: ribosomal RNA, 253 nt
Filed under: uncultured bacterium
Lineage: Bacteria
Description: partial 16S ribosomal RNA
Rfam family: Bacterial small subunit ribosomal RNA
Source: RNAcentral